This is a long non-coding RNA of Notolabrus celidotus (New Zealand spotty), 559 nucleotides long. RefSeq lists it as uncharacterized. NCBI's taxonomy places the organism in Eukaryota, Metazoa, Chordata, Actinopteri, Labriformes, Labridae. The transcript is spliced from 2 exons. The record is from RefSeq and is a predicted model, not a curated record.
AGGAAGAACUUCUGGUUGAAGAUGAAGGCCACACCGCUGAUCUCCUCUACUUUGGCCUCUGCAGUGGUGUUCCUGUUGAUGAAGUUGGCUGUGAUGGCGAUCGCCAGCUUCCCUCUGAACUCCUUCCUUUUAAAACCUGAGAUACAAAAGCAGUGAGACAAGAGUGAAACAGAGAUACAGAGAGUAUUCCUGCGCCCGUCAGCCCCAACCACCACGUCAAACUCAAAGUUAGCCACAGGGUGAUCAGCAGGUCGGAUUGCAGCUCUCCACCCGAUCCCUAUCAGAUGGAAACAAAGGCAAUUAAAGAGUAAGAGGGCAUGAAACUAACAUUACAUAAAGCGUAAGAACAUUCAUUCUGUGCUGAACCUCUACACAGAACAUUCAGCGCAGGGCAUGUGAAAAGCCAGCUGAUAAAGAAUGGUAUUUUUGCUCAAGGACACUUCACCAGUCAAAAUAUCUCUCCCACAGAGACCUCUAUGCCACCUGCAGUGAACCUAUUUUCUGAUGUGUCAAUGCAGAGAAUUUUUCCAUAGAGAAAUAAAGAGUAACAGAAAAAUAA